RNAcentral lists this microRNA precursor (122 nucleotides) under Paramuricea clavata. The record is from RNAcentral. Lineage: Eukaryota; Metazoa; Cnidaria; Anthozoa; Malacalcyonacea; Plexauridae.
GGUCGGUUCGAGUAAGUGAUAUUUCGGAACAGAAUCUAGUUCCUUCGAUGCCAAUGUAAUCUAGUAAUAUGAUUUUUUCUGUGUUGGUGUAGAUUCUGUUCCGAAAUAUCACUUACUCGAAC